This 700-nucleotide ribosomal RNA is filed under the name uncultured bacterium. Its description in RNAcentral is "bacterial SSU rRNA". It matches the Rfam family "Bacterial small subunit ribosomal RNA", at positions 8 to 703 of the family's 1533-position model. The record is from RNAcentral.
AGAGUUUGAUCCUGGCUCAGGAUGAACGCUAGCGGCAGGCCUAACACAUGCAAGUCGAACGGUAACAUGAGAGCUUGCUCUCGAUGACGAGUGGCGCACGGGUGCGUAACACGUAUGCAACCUACCUUCAACUGGGGAGUAGCCCGAAGAAAUUCGGAUUAAUACCCCAUAAUAAUAGAAAUUCGCAUGUUUUUCUAUUUAAAACUCCGGUGGUUGAAGAUGGGCAUGCGUCCUAUUAGUUAGUUGGUGAGGUAACGGCUCACCAAGACUCCGAUAGGUAGGGGUUCUGAGAGGAAGAUCCCCCACACUGGUACUGAGACACGGACCAGACUCCUACGGAAGGCAGCAGUGAGGAAUAUUGGACAAUGGACGAAAGUCUGAUCCAGCCAUGCCGCGUGUAGGAAGACUGCCCUCUGGGUUGUAAACUACUUUUAUAAGGGAAUAAACCCCCGUACGUGUACGGGGCUGAAUGUACCUUAAGAAUAAGCACCGGCUAACUCCGUGCCAGCAGCCGCGGUAAUACGGAGGGUGCAAGCGUUAUCCGGAUUUAUUGGGUUUAAAGGGUCCGUAGGUGGAAUUGUAAGUCAGUGGUGAAAUCUUUCGGCUUAACCGGAAAACUGCCAUUGAUACUGCAGUUCUUGAGUAUGCUCGAGGUAGGCGGAAUAUGUCAUGUAGCGGUGAAAUGCAUAGAUAUGACAUA